This 789-nucleotide ribosomal RNA is filed under the name uncultured bacterium. RNAcentral's name for it is "bacterial SSU rRNA". It matches the Rfam family "Bacterial small subunit ribosomal RNA", at positions 8 to 796 of the family's 1533-position model. The record is from RNAcentral.
AGAGUUUGAUCAUGGCUCAGAUUGAACGCUGGCGGCAUGCCUUACACAUGCAAGUCGAACGGCAGCGCGGGGCAACCUGGCGGCGAGUGGCGAACGGGUGAGUAAUAUAUCGGAACGUGCCCUGGAGUGGGGGAUAACGCAGCGAAAGUUGCGCUAAUACCGCAUACGAUCUAAGGAUGAAAGCAGGGGACCGCAAGGCCUUGUGCUCCUGGAGCGGCCGAUAUCUGAUUAGCUAGUUGGUGGGGUAAAGGCCUACCAAGGCAUCGAUCAGUAGCUGGUCUGAGAGGACGACCAGCCACACUGGAACUGAGACACGGUCCAGACUCCUACGGGAGGCAGCAGUGGGGAAUUUUGGACAAUGGGCGAAAGCCUGAUCCAGCAAUGCCGCGUGAGUGAAGAAGGCCUUCGGGUUGUAAAGCUCUUUUGUCAGGGAAGAAACGGUGCGGGCUAAUAUCCCGCACUAAUGACGGUACCUGAAGAAUAAGCACCGGCUAACUACGUGCCAGCAGCCGCGGUAAUACGUAGGGUGCAAGCGUUAAUCGGAAUUACUGGGCGUAAAGCGUGCGCAGGCGGUUUUGUAAGUUUGUCGUGAAAGCCCCGGGCUCAACCUGGGAAUUGCGAUGAAGACUGCAAGGCUUGAAUCUGGCAGAGGGGGGUAGAAUUCCACGUAGCAGUGAAAUGCGUAGAGAUGUGGAGGAACACCGAUGGCGAAGGCAGCCCCCUGGGUCAAGAUUGACGCUCAUGCACGAAAGCGUGGGGAGCAAACAGGAUUAGAUACCCUAGUAGUCC